GCCCCCAUAGUUCAAUGGAUAGAACAGCUCCGUCCUAAGGAGUAGAUGUAGGUUCGAUUCCCGCUGGGGGCACCA
Molecule: transfer RNA, 75 nt
Filed under: Candidatus Lloydbacteria bacterium RIFCSPHIGHO2_01_FULL_49_22
Lineage: Bacteria; Candidatus Lloydiibacteriota
Also listed under: 1 other name
Description: tRNA-Arg
Rfam family: tRNA
About the family: Transfer RNA (tRNA) molecules are approximately 80 nucleotides in length.
Source: RNAcentral